CUUAUGUAUACCACUCUCCUCCUCCUCCAGUGAAGUCUCCUCCACCACCUUAUUAUUACCACUCUCCACCACCACCCGUGAAAUCUCCUCCCCCUCCUUAUGUAUAUCACUCUCCUCCACCUCCGAUUAAGUCUCCACCACCACCGUACUACUAUCACUCACCACCACCACCGGUGAAAUCGCCUCCUCCUCCUUACUAUUAUCAUUCUCCACCACCACCGGUUAAAUCUCCACCACCACCAUAUUACUACCAUUCUCCACCACCACCGGUUAAAUCUCCACCACCUCCAUACUACUACCACUCUCCACCUCCUCCGGUCAAGUCUCCACCGCCACCAUACUACUACCACUCUCCACCUCCUCCGGUCAAGUCUCCACCACCACCGUACUACUAUCACUCUCCGCCUCCUCCGGUCAAGUCUCCUCCACCACCGUACUACUAUCACUCUCCACCUCCUCCGGUCAAGUCUCCUCCACCACCAUACUACUACCACUCUCCCCCUCCUCCGGUGAAGUCUCCACCACCACCGUAUUACUACCACUCUCCUCCUCCUCCGGUUAAAUCUCCACCACCACCAUACUACUAUCACUCUCCACCACCACCGGUCAAAUCCCCACCACCACCAUAUUAUUACCAUUCUCCACCACCACCGGUAAAGUCACCACCUCCACCAUAUUAUUACCAUUCUCCUCCUCCUCCGGUAAAAUCACCACCUCCACCAUAUUAUUAUCACUCUCCUCCUCCUCCAGUGAAAUCACCACCUCCACCUUACUAUUACUCAUCCCCACCACCACCAAAAUCUUACCCUCCACCAUACCACUACUCAUCUCCUCCACCACCACCAAAGUCGUACUCGCCACCAUACUACUACUCAUCACCACCACCUCCUGUGUCGUACCCUCAUCCUCACCCACACCCACACCCACAUCCACUUGUCUUCAAAGUUGUAGGUAAAGUGUAUUGUUACAGAUGUUAUGACUGGACUUACCCCAAAAAGUCCCACGAUAAGAAGCAUCUCAAAGGUACUUAAGUUUUCCACGUGUUCAAUAAUUAAUGUCUUAAUCUUAACAGGUUUAUUAAUUAUUUAGACAGAAUUGUUAUCUUGAUGAUUAUAGGAUGAUUACAGGCUUAAAGGAUUUAAAAAACUAGCAUAUAUGUAUUGUAAAGUGGUAGUUGCAUACUUGCAUUGCAUGUAGUCUAUAUUAUUUAUUAGUGGAGAAACGCAAACGAUAAAGUCAAGAAAAAGACAAGAAUCUGUUAUUGACUUAUACAAUCCAAUGAGAUCGAACAAGCAAAAUCAAUUUAGUAGAUACCCAACUAAAAGGACAUAAACUGAUAUUUAAAAUUUAAAUAAUUUGAUUUUUUUUUGUCAUAUAGGUGCUGUUGUAGAAGUGACUUGUAAGGCCGGUGACAAGAUAGUGAAGGCAUACGGAAAGACCAAAAUCAACGGUAAAUAUGCAAUCACCGUUAAGGGAUACAACUACCGUAAAUACGGUGGCGAAGUUUGCACGGCCAAGCUUCACGCGCCGCCUAAAGGCUCACCGUGUAACAUUCCUACAAGCUACCAUAUGGGUAACAAAGGUGCAAAGCUUCAUGUGAAAUCAAAGACAAAGUACGAGGUUGUGCUCUAUGCCAAGUCCUUUGCUUAUGCACCUAAGAAACCUUACGGAGAAUGCCACAAACCAGCUCCUUACCAUCCUCCUUACUACUACAAAUCGCCACCACCACCAUCUCCGGUUUACUACUACAAGUCACCACCACCACCGGCUCCAACCUAUGUCUACAAAUCUCCACCACCACCAACUCCGACUUACGUCUACAAGUCGCCGCCUCCUCCAACCCCAACAUAUGUCUACAAAUCGCCUCCUCCUCCUACCCCAACAUACGUAUACAAGUCUCCUCCACCACCAACUCCAACUUACGUAUACAAAUCACCACCACCGCCGACUCCAACUUACGUCUACAAGUCGCCUCCUCCACCUACGCCAACCUAUGUCUAUAAAUCUCCACCGCCACCAACCCCGACUUAUGUUUACAAGUCACCACCACCUCCGACUCCGACAUACAUUUACAAGUCUCCACCACCUCCUACUCCGACUUAUGUCUACAAGUCACCACCUCCACCAACCCCUACAUAUGUCUAUAAGUCACCACCUCCACCCACUCCGACCUACGUCUACAAGUCACCACCACCUCCAACUCACACUCCUACACCAUACUACUACCAUUCUCCACCACCACCAGUAAAAUCCCCUCCACCUCCUUAUUACUACCACUCACCACCACCACCGGUUAAAUCUCCACCACCACCAUACUACUAUCAUUCACCACCUCCUCUGGUGAAGUCUCCUCCACCACCAUACUAUUACCAUUCACCACCACCUCCAGUAAAAUCUCCUCCCCCCCCAUACUACUAUCACUCCCCACCUCCUCCAGUGAAGUCUCCUCCGCCACCUUACUAUUAUCACUCCCCACCUCCUCCAGUAAAAUCACCACCACCACCAUAUUAUUACCACUCUCCAC
Molecule: long non-coding RNA, 2524 nt
Filed under: Brassica rapa (field mustard)
Lineage: Eukaryota; Viridiplantae; Streptophyta; Magnoliopsida; Brassicales; Brassicaceae
Description: long non-coding RNA (BRAP_LNC003223)
Source: RNAcentral